Molecule: ribosomal RNA, 441 nt
Filed under: uncultured bacterium
Lineage: Bacteria
Description: partial 16S ribosomal RNA
Rfam family: Bacterial small subunit ribosomal RNA
Source: RNAcentral
CCUACGGGUGGCAGCAGUGGGGAAUAUUGCACAAUGGGGGGAACCCUGAUGCAGCGACGCCGCGUGGGUGAAGGAGUAUUUCGGUAUGUAAAGCCCUAUCAGCAGGGAAGAACAAUGACGGUACCUGACUAAGAAGCAUCGGCUAACUCCGUGCCAGCAGCCGCGGUAAUACGGAGGAUGCGAGCGUUAUCCGGAAUGACUGGGCGUAAAGGGAGUGUAGGCGGCAUAUUAAGUUAUGUGUGAAAGCCCGCGGCUCAACCGCGGAAUUGCACAUAAAACUGGUAAGCUGGAGUGCAGGAGAGGUAAGUGGAAUUCCCGGUGUAGCGGUGGAAUGCGUAGAUAUCGGGAGGAACACCAGAGGCGAAGGCGACUUACUGGACUGUAACUGACGCUGAGGCUCGAAAGCGUGGGGAGCAAACAGGAUUAGAUACCCCUGUAGUC